CAGCGGGGGUUUUNGGCCNUCCCGGCGAGCGGCGAAACGGGUGANUAAUGCAUUNGAAACGUANCCCAGUGGCGGGGGGAUAGNUCGGCGAAANCCGGAUUAAUACCGCAUACGCCNUGAGGGGGAAAGUGGGGGNUUUUCGGACCUCACCCCAUUGGAGCGNCCGAUNUCGGAUUAGCUAGUUGGUGGGUAAANGCUCACCAAGGCGACGAUCCGUAGCUGUUCUGAGAGGAUGAUCAGCCCACACUGGGACUGAGACACGGCCCAGACUCNUACGGGAGGCAGCAGUGGGGAAUUUUGGACAAUGGGCGCAAGCCUGAUCCAGCCAUGCCGCGUGAGUGAAGAAGGCCUUCGGGUUGUAAAGCUCUUUCAGUCGGGAAGAAAAGGCGUCCUCUAACAUAGGGGCGUCGAUGACGGUACCGACAGAAGAAGCACCGGCUAACUACGUGCCAGCAGCCGCGGUAAUACGUAGGGUGCGAGCGUUAAUCGGAAUUACUGGGCGUAAAGCGUGCGCAGGCGGUUCGCUAAGACAGGUGUGAAAUCCCCGGGCUUAACCUGGGAACUGCGCUUGUGACUGGCGGGCUAGAGUACGGCAGAGGGGGGUGGAAUUCCACGUGUAGCAGUGAAAUGCGUAGAUAUGUGGAGGAACACCGAUGGCGAAGGCAGCCCCCUGGGCCUGUACUGACGCUCAUGCACGAAAGCGUGGGGAGCAAACAGGAUUAGAUANCCCUGGUAGUCCACGCCCUAAACGAUGUCAAGCUAGUCGUUCGGAGCGGUAACGCACUGAGUGACGCAGCUAACGCGUGAAGUACCCGCCUGG
RNAcentral lists this ribosomal RNA (820 nucleotides) under uncultured bacterium. Its description in RNAcentral is "bacterial SSU rRNA". It matches the Rfam family "Bacterial small subunit ribosomal RNA", at positions 67 to 876 of the family's 1533-position model. The record is from RNAcentral.